This 253-nucleotide ribosomal RNA is filed under the name uncultured bacterium. Its description in RNAcentral is "partial 16S ribosomal RNA". It matches the Rfam family "Bacterial small subunit ribosomal RNA", at positions 524 to 776 of the family's 1533-position model. The record is from RNAcentral.
UACGUAGGGGGCAGGCGUCAUCCGGAAUUACUGGGUGUAAAGGGAGCGUAGACGGUAAUGUAAGUCUGGAGUGAAAGGCGGGGGCCCAACCCCCGGACUGCUCUGGAAACUAUGUUACUAGAGUGCAGGAGAGGUAAGCGGAAUUCCUAGUGUAGCGGUGAAAUGCGUAGAUAUUAGGAGGAACACCAGUGGCGAAGGCGGCUUACUGGACUGUAACUGACGUUGAGGCUCGAAAGCGUGGGGAGCAAACAGG